RNAcentral lists this ribosomal RNA (492 nucleotides) under uncultured bacterium. RNAcentral describes it as "partial 16S ribosomal RNA". It matches the Rfam family "Bacterial small subunit ribosomal RNA", at positions 29 to 507 of the family's 1533-position model. The record is from RNAcentral.
AGUGAACGCUGGCGGUAGGCCUAACACAUGCAAGUCGAACGGCAGCACAGUAAGAGCUUGCUCUUACGGGUGGCGAGUGGCGGACGGGUGAGGAAUACAUCGGAAUCUACUUUUUCGUGGGGGAUAACGUAGGGAAACUUACGCUAAUACCGAAUACGACCUACGGGUGAAAGCAGGGGAUCUUCGGACCUUGCGCGAUUGAAUGAGCCGAUGUCGGAUUAGCUAGUUGGCGGGGUAAAGGCCCACCAAGGCGACGAUCCGUAGCUGGUCUGAGAGGAUGAUCAGCCACACUGGAACUGAGACACGGUCCAGACUCCUACGGGAGGCAGCAGUGGGGAAUAUUGGACAAUGGGCGCAAGCCUGAUCCAGCCAUACCGCGUGGGUGAAGAAGGCCUUCGGGUUGUAAAGCCCUUUUGUUGGGAAAGAAAAGCAGCAGGUGAAUACCCCGCUGUUCUGACGGUACCCAAAGAAUAAGCACCGGCUAACUUCGUG